AUUGAACGCUGGCGGUAUGCUUAACACAUGCAAGUCGAACGGUAGCAGGCCUUCGGGCGCUGACGAGUGGCGGACGGGUGAGUAACGCGUAGGAAUCUGCCUUUUAGUGGGGGACAACUUAGGGAAACUUAAGCUAAUACCGCAUACGCCCUACGGGGGAAAGCGGGGGACCUUCGGGCCUCGCGCUAAAAGAUAAGCCUGCGUUGGAUUAGCUAGUUGGCGGGGUAAAGGCCCACCAAGGCGACGAUCCAUAGCUGGUCUGAGAGGACGAUCAGCCACACUGGGACUGAGACACGGCCCAGACUCCUACGGGAGGCAGCAGUAGGGAAUAUUGGACAAUGGCGGAAGCCUGAUCCAGCAAUACCGCGUGUGUGAAGAAGGCCUGAGGGUUGUAAAGCACUUUCAAUAGGAAGGAAUACCUAUCCAUUAAUACUGGGUAGACUGACAUUACCUAUACAAGAAGCACCGGCUAACUCCGUGCCAGCCGCCGCCGUAA
This 496-nucleotide ribosomal RNA is filed under the name uncultured bacterium. RNAcentral's name for it is "partial 16S ribosomal RNA". It matches the Rfam family "Bacterial small subunit ribosomal RNA", at positions 30 to 523 of the family's 1533-position model. The record is from RNAcentral.